RNAcentral lists this long non-coding RNA (283 nucleotides) under Homo sapiens (human). RNAcentral describes it as "non-protein coding lnc-OR4C13-6:1". The record is from RNAcentral. Lineage: Eukaryota; Metazoa; Chordata; Mammalia; Primates; Hominidae.
AAUCAUUAAAAAGUCAGGAAAAAAAAGGUGCUGGAGAGGAUGUGGAGAAAUAGGAACACUUUUACACUGUUGGUGGAGCUGCCUGCCAGUCCCGCGCUGUGCACUCACAAUCCUCAGCUCUUGGGUGGUCAAUGGGAGGGGGCAACAUGGAGCAGGGGGCGGCACUCAUCGGGGAGACUUGGGCCAUUCAGGAGUCCACGGUGGGGGGAGGUUCAGGCAUGGCAGGCUGUAAGUCUCAAGCCCUGCCACACCGGGAGGCAGCUAAGGCCCUGCGAGAAGUUGA